Molecule: long non-coding RNA, 342 nt
Filed under: Penaeus japonicus
Lineage: Eukaryota; Metazoa; Arthropoda; Malacostraca; Decapoda; Penaeidae
Description: uncharacterized LOC122251806
Source: RNAcentral
CCUCCCUCCUUCCUUCCUUCCCUCCCUUCCUUCCUUCCCUCCGUUCCCUUCCCUCCCUUCCCCCCAUCUUCCCAUCGUCCCCCCUUCCUUCCUUCCUUCCUUCCUUCCUUCCCUCUACCUCCAUCGCUGCCAUUUGAAGAAGACCAAAGAGGAAUCUCACAUAAAGGUCAACACAUCAUUCACCGUAGACAAACAACAAACCAACACUUCAGAUGUGUUUAAACGUAAGAAAUGUUUGUUGUGAAGUGUAGAAAAUACUUUUUGUCCCCCUCAAUAUGGGUUAUAUCUGCUCUGUGUGUGAUAUUCAUUUUAUACAUUCGGAAUAAAAGUUUUGAAAGAAUC